This is a long non-coding RNA of Dreissena polymorpha, 1824 nucleotides long. RefSeq lists it as uncharacterized. The record is from RefSeq and is a predicted model, not a curated record. The transcript has 2 exons. NCBI's taxonomy places the organism in Eukaryota, Metazoa, Mollusca, Bivalvia, Myida, Dreissenidae.
GGGUUGGGUCAUAGGGAGUCUAGAGUUGAUGAGUGCAUGACCAACUGUUCAAUUUUUGUAUAAACAAAAUGGUAAAUAUGUGUACAUAUACUAAACAAUGUAUAGACGUAAAAUAAUAAUGUUUAUUCGCUUAGGAAUAAUCUUAUUCAACGCAAAGGCUAUUUUCCACUCUAACUCUAAAACACCCCUCUUUAUAAAAAGCUAUUGUCCAUUGUAUCAUUUGGACUUGUCCACUUAUAUAAACCGCUUGUUUUCCUCGCAGUCAUUCCUUUUCGAGCUGACCAGUAAACUGAGUAAGUCACUGCUUUACGAAUUUUACAUUUAAGCACAUGGUUGAAAAGAUGUCUGAAGUUCUUUUUAAAUGAGAACUUGUUCUUAUUUUGUACAGUUUUAUCUUGUUAUUCGUAUGUAAAUUUAGUAUAAGAAAUUCAGUAUCUUUAUUCUGGGGUAAGCUAUUUAAUAGUUUGCGUUUUUAUAUUCAAGAUAUACCGACCACGUGUUUGUACGGUUCUUGAAAUUGUGUUUGGUGAUCAGCUUUAUCAUGUCAGUCGUUGUACAUUUAGUAUACAGUAUAUAAUUUGAGUUUUUAGAUUCAAGAUACAACAACCACGUGUUUGUAUGAUUAUAGAAAUGUUAUUCAGGUGGUGUUUCCUGAAUAACAUAACUAUUAAAUAUUAAAACUGAACUAUUUAAUAAAGCUUAAAUUCUAGAAUAAUUGUAUUUUUGCUUUUAAUUGGAAUUAUUGUCUAUAUUAUUGUUCGCUUUUACGUUUUUAUUAACAAGACUAUUUUCAUGGUUUUAUAAUGCCACCACGUGCAAAAAGACGUCGAGCGGAAGCCGCGCAAGCGCUUCAAACCAUGGGUGCGGAACCGAGUCAGAGGGUCGUUCGCGUGGAACCGAUAGUGACGGCACCAGAAAUUGACCCAGAGUAAUCGUCCGAGCCGGGAACAAGCGAGCAACAAAGCGAGAAAGGGUGUUGCAGGGUUCAUUGCGAUAUAAUAUGGCACGACUACCAAGCUAACCUGCAAAGGCCAUGGUGACAAUAAAAGUCAGAGCAAGUGUUUCCAGAAGUGACUGGAUGGGAGUUAGCAUGAUUGUGGGACAACGUGGCACAAAUCCUGAGCAUUUAUAUAGCUGAGGGGUCAGACAUUGUUCCAGGGAAUAUUUUGAACGGGGGGGGGGGGACAGAUAUGAUCAUAUAUUAAAAGGAAACUCCUUAUACAUGUAUAUCUGGAAUGAAAAUCUCGUCUGUUAGUCAUUUUUGUAGGCAAAUAAUCUACACAAGACAGUAUAUGCACUAUGACAUUAAAGCCAUAUAUAGCUCCAGUUAGCAUUCAGACAUUAUUUGCCAAAACGUUUCAUGAGAAUGAAUUGAAAAAUAUGCUUUUUAAAAUGACACUAAGUUGAACUGUCACAUACAUGUCGUUUUUAAAUAAUACGGUCUUUGCGACAGUAAGAAUUGUACAGAACAGAACAACUCUUUAUUUUACACCCAAGUAUACAAGGGAUACAAUAAGGGCAACAUAACAAAAACGAGUUUUACAGUAUUUUCCGGUUCAAGGUGGCAACAGUUAUAGGACAGCUAAUAUUAGUGUUAGGUAGUGUAACUAUUUAAGAUAAAAAGGGGAACUAUUAAAUGGGAGUUCAAACACAUACAGUGUGUAUACAAGUGUAGAAAGGACUUUGAAGAUGAUGAGCUUGUACAUGUACUUCAAAAAGACAUAUUAUUGAGAGUACUCGUUGAUGCAAAUGCUAAAGAAACAGACAAUCACCAUGCAGAGGUCGGUAUCACAAAAGAGUGGUAUAAUUGAAAUUGUACCUACA